UGAAACCCGCCUUGAGGUGGCCUUUUCGUUCGCUGUCCCAAAACAGGCAACAUGGACAAACCUAUUAAACUAGCAAAGGUGACCAAAGUUCUUGGAAGAACAGGAUCACAGGGUCAGUGUACGCAGGUUAGAGUGGAAUUCUUGGACGACUCCAACAGGUCAAUUAUAAGGAAUGUAAAAGGACCAGUACGUGAGGGAGAUGUAUUAACGCUGUUAGAGUCUGAACGUGAAGCUAGGAGGUUAAGAUAACGUUCUUUGGCGUAUUUCAACAUAAUACCAUCACAAUGUUGUAUAUAGAAGUACAAGAAAUCCCAUCUAUACAAGUAUAGCAGUGGUUAGGAAGUGAAGAGCUCUGCUCAUUGAUUCCAUUUCCACAUAUGAUUUAUUUUUAUCUAACACUGCAAAUAAAUCAGAGCAGAUCAAAUUAAA
Molecule: long non-coding RNA, 429 nt
Organism: Saccoglossus kowalevskii
Lineage: Eukaryota; Metazoa; Hemichordata; Enteropneusta; Harrimaniidae
Source: RefSeq, a predicted model, not a curated record